GACCUUGUGGCGCAACGGUAGCGCGUCUGACUCCAGAUCAGAAGGUUGCGUUUCCAAAUCACGUCAGGGUCA
This 72-nucleotide transfer RNA is filed under the name Danio rerio (zebrafish). It matches the Rfam family "tRNA". From Rfam's summary of the family: Transfer RNA (tRNA) molecules are approximately 80 nucleotides in length. Their secondary structure includes four short double-helical elements and three loops (D, anti-codon, and T loops). The record is from Rfam by way of RNAcentral. Lineage: Eukaryota; Metazoa; Chordata; Actinopteri; Cypriniformes; Danionidae.